UUCCGGUUGAUCCUGCCGGACCCCACUGCUAUCGGGGUGGGACUAAAACGUGCAAGUCGAGCGCCUCCAAGCUAUGGUGAAGGCGCGGCAAACGGCUCAGUAACACGUGGCCAACCUACCCUUGGGACGGAGACAACCCCGGGAAACUGGGGCUAAUCCCCGAUAGGUAAGGAGCCCUGGAAUGGGUCUUUGUUGAAAGGGCGUUUAGACCAUGCUUCUUGACGUCGCCCAAGGAUGGAGCCGCGACCGAUCAGGUAGUUGGUGAGGCAACGGCUCACCAAGCCUAUAACCGGUACGGGCCGUGAGAGCGGGAGCCCGGAGAUGGGCACUGAGACAAGGGCCCAGGCCCUACGGGGCGCAGCAGUUGCGAAAACUCCGCAAUGCGCGAAAGCGUGACGGGGCUACCCCGAGUGCCGCCCGUUGAGGGCGGCUUUUCCACGGUGUAAGGAGCUGUGGGAAUAAGGAGAGGGCAAGACUGGUGUCAGCCGCCGCGGUAAUACCAGCUCUCCGAGUGGUGGGGACGAUUAUUGGGCUUAAAGCGUUCGUAGCCGGCUUAACAAGUCUUCCGUUAAAUCCAACGAUCUAAUCGUUGGGCUGCGGGAGAUACUGUUGGGCUAGGAGGCGGGAGAAGCCGACGGUAUUCUCGGGGUAGGGGUGAAAUCCUGUAAUCCCGGGAGGACCACCAGUGGCGAAGGCGGUCGGCUAGAACGCGCUCGACGGUGAGGGACGAAAGCUGGGGGAGCGAACCGGAUUAGAAACCCGGGUAGUCCCAGCUGUAAACGAUGCGGGCUAGGUGUUGGGGUGGCCACGAGCCACUUCAGUGCCGCAUGGAAAGCAAUUAAGCCCGCCGCCUGGGGAGUACGGGCCGCAAGGCUGAAACUUAAAGGAAUGGCGGGGGGAGCACACAAGGCGUGAAGCUGCGGUUUAAUGGAUCAACGC
RNAcentral lists this ribosomal RNA (939 nucleotides) under uncultured archaeon. Its description in RNAcentral is "bacterial SSU rRNA". It matches the Rfam family "Archaeal small subunit ribosomal RNA", at positions 1 to 918 of the family's 1478-position model. The record is from RNAcentral.